Molecule: ribosomal RNA, 250 nt
Filed under: uncultured bacterium
Lineage: Bacteria
Description: partial 16S ribosomal RNA
Rfam family: Bacterial small subunit ribosomal RNA
Source: RNAcentral
UACGAAGGGUGCGAGCGUUGUUCGGAUUUACUGGGCGUAAAGGGUUCGUAGGCGGGAGGGUAAGUUGGAUGUGAAAUCCCCGAGCUUAACUUGGGACGUGCAUCCAAAACUGCUUUUCUUGAGUACCGGAGAGGGUCGUAGAAUUGCUGGUGUAGGAGUGACAUCCGUAGAGAUCAGCAGGAAUACCGGAGGCGAAGGCGACGGCCUGGCCGAGUACUGACGCUGAGGAACGAAAGCGUGGGGAGCAAAC